CUGGAGUUUAUUAUUUGUAGUUACUAUUCAUGGAGUUUGGAGUGAGAUCAAACUGGACCAGUCUUCCUCUGAGGUGAAAAGACCUGGAGAGACAGUGAAGAUGUCAUGUAUCAUAUCUGGUUAUAGCAUGACA
Long non-coding RNA from Sander lucioperca (pikeperch), 133 nucleotides. RefSeq lists it as uncharacterized. Lineage: Eukaryota; Metazoa; Chordata; Actinopteri; Perciformes; Percidae. The record is from RefSeq and is a predicted model, not a curated record. The transcript is spliced from 2 exons.